AGUGAACGCUGGCGGUAGGCCUAACACAUGCAAGUCGAACGGCAGCACAGUAAGAGCUUGCUCUUACGGGUGGCGAGUGGCGGACGGGUGAGGAAUACAUCGGAAUCUACUUUUUCGUGGGGGAUAACGUAGGGAAACUUACGCUAAUACCGCAUACGACCUACGGGUGAAAGCAGGGGAUCUUCGGACCUUGCGCGAUUGAAUGAGCCGAUGUCGGAUUAGCUAGUUGGCGGGGUAAAGGCCCACCAAGGCGACGAUCCGUAGCUGGUCUGACAGGAUGAUCAGCCACACUGGAACUGAGACACGGUCCAGACUCCUACGGGAGGCAGCAGUGGGGAAUAUUGGACAAUGGGCGCAAGCCUGAUCCAGCCAUACCGCGUGAGUGAAGAAGGCCUUCGGGUUGUAAAGCCCUUUUGUUGGGAAAGAAAAGCAGCAGAUUAAUACCCCGCUGUUCUGACGGUACCCAAAGAAUAAGCACCGGCUAACUUCGUG
RNAcentral lists this ribosomal RNA (492 nucleotides) under uncultured bacterium. Its description in RNAcentral is "partial 16S ribosomal RNA". It matches the Rfam family "Bacterial small subunit ribosomal RNA", at positions 29 to 507 of the family's 1533-position model. The record is from RNAcentral.